Molecule: long non-coding RNA, 1689 nt
Organism: Homo sapiens (human)
Lineage: Eukaryota; Metazoa; Chordata; Mammalia; Primates; Hominidae
Gene: MEG3
Product: maternally expressed 3
Source: Ensembl
CGGAGAGCAGAGAGGGAGCGCGCCUUGGCUCGCUGGCCUUGGCGGCGGCUCCUCAGGAGAGCUGGGGCGCCCACGAGAGGAUCCCUCACCCGGGUCUCUCCUCAGGGAUGACAUCAUCCGUCCACCUCCUUGUCUUCAAGGACCACCUCCUCUCCAUGCUGAGCUGCUGCCAAGGGGCCUGCUGCCCAUCUACACCUCACGAGGGCACUAGGAGCACGGUUUCCUGGAUCCCACCAACAUACAAAGCAGCCACUCACUGACCCCCAGGACCAGGAUGGCAAAGGAUGAAGAGGACCGGAACUGACCAGCCAGCUGUCCCUCUUACCUAAAGACUUAAACCAAUGCCCUAGUGAGGGGGCAUUGGGCAUUAAGCCCUGACCUUUGCUAUGCUCAUACUUUGACUCUAUGAGUACUUUCCUAUAAGUCUUUGCUUGUGUUCACCUGCUAGCAAACUGGAGUGUUUCCCUCCCCAAGGGGGUGUCAGUCUUUGUCGACUGACUCUGUCAUCACCCUUAUGAUGUCCUGAAUGGAAGGAUCCCUUUGGGAAAUUCUCAGGAGGGGGACCUGGGCCAAGGGCUUGGCCAGCAUCCUGCUGGCAACUCCAAGGCCCUGGGUGGGCUUCUGGAAUGAGCAUGCUACUGAAUCACCAAAGGCACGCCCGACCUCUCUGAAGAUCUUCCUAUCCUUUUCUGGGGGAAUGGGGUCGAUGAGAGCAACCUCCUAGGGUUGUUGUGAGAAUUAAAUGAGAUAAAAGAGGCCUCAGGCAGGAUCUGGCAUAGAGGAGGUGAUCAGCAAAUGUUUGUUGAAAAGGUUUGACAGGUCAGUCCCUUCCCACCCCUCUUGCUUGUCUUACUUGUCUUAUUUAUUCUCCAACAGCACUCCAGGCAGCCCUUGUCCACGGGCUCUCCUUGCAUCAGCCAAGCUUCUUGAAAGGCCUGUCUACACUUGCUGUCUUCCUUCCUCACCUCCAAUUUCCUCUUCAACCCACUGCUUCCUGACUCGCUCUACUCCGUGGAAGCACGCUCACAAAGGGCUAAUCUCGGGCCUUGUCGAAGGAAGAGGCUGCAGACGUUAAUGAGGUUAGCUGCUGGAUUCCAGUAUUCGUCGCAUAAGGAUCCUUCUUUGUCUGCGAAGGAAAAACACACUGAUUAUCAUAAUGAGGCACGUGGGCCGUGGCCCGGCUGGGUCGGCUGAAGAACUGCGGAUGGAAGCUGCGGAAGAGGCCCUGAUGGGGCCCACCAUCCCGGACCCAAGUCUUCUUCCUGGCGGGCCUCUCGUCUCCUUCCUGGUUUGGGCGGAAGCCAUCACCUGGAUGCCUACGUGGGAAGGGACCUCGAAUGUGGGACCCCAGCCCCUCUCCAGCUCGAAAUCCCUCCACAGCCACGGGGACACCCUGCACCUAUUCCCACGGGACAGGCUGGACCCAGAGACUCUGGACCCGGGGCCUCCCCUUGAGUAGAGACCCGCCCUCUGACUGAUGGACGCCGCUGACCUGGGGUCAGACCCGUGGGCUGGACCCCUGCCCACCCCGCAGGAACCCUGAGGCCUAGGGGAGCUGUUGAGCCUUCAGUGUCUGCAUGUGGGAAGUGGGCUCCUUCACCUACCUCACAGGGCUGUUGUGAGGGGCGCUGUGAUGCGGUUCCAAAGCACAGGGCUUGGCGCACCCCACUGUGCUCUCAAUAAAUGUGU